AGUGCGAUAAGGGGACUCCGAGUGCGAGGGCAUAUAGUCCUCGCUUUUCUGUACCGUAAGGUGGUACAGGAACAAGGGCUGGGCAAGACCGGUGCCAGCCGCCGCGGUAAUACCGGCAGCHCGAGUGAUGGCCGAUAUUAUUGGGCCUAAAGCGUCCGUAGCCGGCCGGACAAGUCCGUUGGGAAAUCCACGCGCUUAACGNGUGGGCGUCCAGCGGAAACUGUUUGGCUUGGGRCCGGAAGACCCGAGGGGUACGUCCGGGGUAGGAGUGAAAUCCCGUAAUCCUGGACGGACCACCGGUGGCGAAAGCGCCUCGGGAAGACGGAUCCGACGGUGAGGGACGAAAGCUAGGGUCUCGAACCGGAUUAGAUACCCGGGUAGUCCUAGCYGUAAACGAUGCUCGCUAGGUGUGGCGCAGGCUACGAGCCUGYGCUGUGCCGUAGGGAAGCCGWGAAGCGAGCCGCCUGGGAAG
RNAcentral lists this ribosomal RNA (472 nucleotides) under uncultured Halomicrobium sp. Its description in RNAcentral is "bacterial SSU rRNA". It matches the Rfam family "Archaeal small subunit ribosomal RNA", at positions 364 to 835 of the family's 1478-position model. The record is from RNAcentral. Lineage: Archaea; Methanobacteriati; Methanobacteriota; Halobacteria; Halobacteriales; Haloarculaceae.